CAGGGAAUCUUGCACAAUGGACGAAAGUCUGAUGCAGCGAUGCCGCGUGGGGGAUGAAGGCCCUAGGGUCGUAAACCCCUUUCAGGGGGGACGAAAAUGACGGUACCCACAGAAGAAGGUCCGGCCAACUACGUGCCAGCAGCCGCGGUAAGACGUAGGGACCGACCGUUGUCCGGAAUUAUUGGGCGUAUAGAGCUCGUAGGCGGUUGCGUAAGUCGGAUGUGAAAGCUCAGGGCUCAACCCUGAGACGCCAUCCGAUACUGCGCUGACUUGAAUCCAGUAGGUGAUUGUGGAAUUCCUGGUGUAGCGGUGAAAUGCGCAGAUAUCAGGAGGAACACCUAUGGCGAAGGCAGCACUCUGGGCUGGUAUUGACGCUGAGGAGCGAAAGCAUGGGUAGCAAACAGGAUUAGAUACCCCUGUAGUCC
Molecule: ribosomal RNA, 425 nt
Filed under: uncultured prokaryote
Description: bacterial SSU rRNA
Rfam family: Bacterial small subunit ribosomal RNA
Source: RNAcentral